Molecule: long non-coding RNA, 517 nt
Organism: Phragmites australis (common reed)
Lineage: Eukaryota; Viridiplantae; Streptophyta; Magnoliopsida; Poales; Poaceae
Exons: 2
Source: RefSeq, a predicted model, not a curated record
CCUUUGUGCGCGAGUGACAGCAGCGCUGUGAAGUAUAAAGUGGCGGAAUUUGCUGAGUGAGUAAGCGGUGACAAAAGUAAAUGCAGAAUGAAGAUGGGGAGUGGUCAUAAGGCAAAGAAUCUACAAUACAUGCAGCAGCUAUUUUAGAUUUCAAGAUCCCAAUAGAAUGAGGUGAUCAGUUUGCAUACCAGAUGUGUUGGUGUUCAGGUAGGUAUAAGCUGGAGGGAGGAGUUUGUCAACAAAAUGAAUGAGUAAUUAGAUGAUGCAAAGUGUUGCUGUUAUGGGAAUGAGAAUCACAGCCGAAUGAUUUGGGUGGCAAAUGAUUGUAAACAAAAGAUGGCUUAGUAUAUGUAGUUUUCAUGUGCAAAGAAAAGCUGAUGUAGUGUGAAUGGGUCAUUGCAAAAGCAUUUUGACACAGAAAUUGUACAUGCAAGGGCACAGAGAUCCGAGAUAGUGGCUGAUAUAAAUUCUAGCUACAGAUCCUGUGCGAAAGCAGUAUAUGUAUUUUUAUGUGCUA